UAAAAAGUAAGCUAACUUUUAAGCUUUUGGGUUCAUACCCCAACUAUAGAUACAAUCUCUUUUUAA
RNAcentral lists this transfer RNA (66 nucleotides) under Lachesilla rufa. RNAcentral's name for it is "tRNA-Met". The record is from RNAcentral. Lineage: Eukaryota; Metazoa; Arthropoda; Insecta; Psocodea; Lachesillidae.